RNAcentral lists this long non-coding RNA (529 nucleotides) under Capra hircus (goat). RNAcentral's name for it is "lncRNA (ENSCHIG00010024416.1)". Lineage: Eukaryota; Metazoa; Chordata; Mammalia; Artiodactyla; Bovidae. The record is from RNAcentral.
GGGUCUGAACCACAGGAGAAGCCCUGAAUCUAAGAAUGAGGCCAAUCAGGGCUGAGUGGUCAGGUUGAAAGAAUCAGCUAAUAGAAAAGCAGACUUGGCUGAGUGAAGGGAUGACCCAGCAACCAGGCUGCAGUGCGUUAAGGCUGAUGAGGCACUUGGAGAGGUGACCCGGAGUGCGGACUGUGAAAACGAGUCUCAGAACCCAAGCUCUGGCCCUCAUGGUGAAACGAGAAGAGUACUAGGGCUUUUCUUCAGGGAGCCUGGGAGGGCAUUCGAGGGAGCAGGACUGCCGAGCUUGCAAGGGAUGAAGCCUACCAGGUGCCUGAAGGAAUAACCGACCAGAGACUGGUGAACCUCGCUGGAGAUAGCCAAGAAUGGAACUACUCUGCUAAUAUAUGCUGACUGACAGCAAACUAUUCCGGCCUUCAGUUGACUGGAAGAGGGCCACCCAGUUAGGGUGAGGAAUCUGUUUUACUCAGUCUAGCAAUUUUUAAUUUUUUAAUAUUUAUUUUUAUUUAUAUGGCCAUGC